CCUACGGGAGGCAGCAGUGGGGAAUAUUGCACAAUGGGCGAAAGCCUGAUGCAGCGACGCCGCGUGAGGGAUGAAGGCCUUCGGGUUGUAAACCUCUUUCGCCAGGGAAGAAGCUUUUGUGACGGUACCUGGAGAAGAAGCACCGGCUAACUACGUGCCAGCAGCCGCGGUAAUACGUAGGGUGCGAGCGUUGUCCGGAAUUAUUGGGCGUAAAGAGCUUGUAGGCGGUUUGUCGCGUCUGCCGUGAAAACUCACAGCUUAACUGUGGGCGUGCGGUGGGUACGGGCAGGCUAGAGUAUGGUAGGGGAGACUGGAAUUCCUGGUGUAGCGGUGAAAUGCGCAGAUAUCAGGAGGAACACCGAUGGCGAAGGCAGGUCUCUGGGCCACUACUGACGCUGAGAAGCGAAAGCAUGGGGAGCGAACAGGAUUAGAUACCCUGGUAGUCCAUGCCGUAAACGUUGGGCGCUAGGUGUGGGGCUCAUUCCACGAGUUCCGUGCCGCAGCUAACGCAUUAAGCGCCCCGCCUGGGGAGUACGGCCGCAAGGCUAAAACUCAAAGGAAUUGACGG
RNAcentral lists this ribosomal RNA (568 nucleotides) under uncultured Dermatophilus sp. Its description in RNAcentral is "bacterial SSU rRNA". It matches the Rfam family "Bacterial small subunit ribosomal RNA", at positions 338 to 916 of the family's 1533-position model. Lineage: Bacteria; Bacillati; Actinomycetota; Actinomycetes; Micrococcales; Dermatophilaceae. The record is from RNAcentral.